AUCCAGCUGACGAGUCUCAAUUAGGACAAAACGCGAGUCAAGGAU
RNAcentral lists this non-coding RNA (45 nucleotides) under Schistosoma margrebowiei. The record is from RNAcentral. Lineage: Eukaryota; Metazoa; Platyhelminthes; Trematoda; Strigeidida; Schistosomatidae.